Oryza sativa Japonica Group (Japanese rice) is the source of this 465-nucleotide long non-coding RNA. RefSeq lists it as uncharacterized. NCBI's taxonomy places the organism in Eukaryota, Viridiplantae, Streptophyta, Magnoliopsida, Poales, Poaceae. The record is from RefSeq and is a predicted model, not a curated record.
UCUUUUCAGGUACUUGCUGUUGAUAUGUUUGCGUGAAGGGAUGGGAUUAGCUACACUGUUGCACGACAUGAUCUCACUUAGUCAUGAUUAUUGUAAUAUGCUGAUAGGAUUACUUGUGUUUAGACAUAAUGGGUUAAUUAAACACUAGAAGUGUUGACCAUUAAUGAGCUACCUUUUCAAGCCUAUCCCUACAUGUCAGUCCAUUGUUGUAUCAUAACCUUAAUCUAUAUGUUGAUGCUUCCGCGAUGUUUUCUUGUCUAAGUUACAGCAGUUCCCCCUCACGAAUCUCCCGAGCCACUUCUGGAAGAUGAGGUAAAUGAGUUGCACUUGCUGAUCUGAGUCUAGGUUGUUGCAAGAUAUGAAAUAGUAAAUAAGGGUUGCUAUGAUCUUGAUCCUAGUUUGACUUAAAUUCCGGAUGUUUUGUUUUUCAAAAUGAUAAAUUUGAAGUUCCUCAAUUGAUAUAAA